This 1014-nucleotide unclassified non-coding RNA is filed under the name Leishmania donovani. RNAcentral describes it as "gene:LdHU3.12.0040(CDS-product:PITH_domain-contai ning_protein)". The record is from RNAcentral. Lineage: Eukaryota; Euglenozoa; Kinetoplastea; Trypanosomatida; Trypanosomatidae.
GGGAAGGUGCAUCGUGCUCUUAAGAGAAGGAAAACUACACAAAUUUACGAUCAAGGUGACGUUAUGCCUUGUAACUGCCGUCAGGGCACCGCAUUGCACAGCCACGUUGGCGACCAACUUGCAAGCGAGGGAGUCUUUGGCCUCGGCGUUCCUAUAAAUGAUGCCGUGGACCUGAGUGCAAUCCAACUCUGGAAUAGCCGAAAUACACCCGCGGAGGCUGGGCGGCUCUUCGACGUGAGCAAAUCCGCAAACCAGGACCCCAUCAGCAGCGAUGAUGACCAGGAACUGCUGAUUAGCGCUCCGCUUUCGUCUGUGUGCCGUAUAAAAGGUGUCUCGUUCGUGGCGCCGGCUAAUGAGACCGCACCGUCGCGUGUGAAGAUCUUUGUAAACCUCGUGAAUGUGGCAGGGUUCAGCUCGGUUCAGCGGCUAGUCCCACAGGAGCAGCUGCAACUCGCAGGCGGUGGUUCCGAGGAGCGGAUCGUCUACCGAGUGAGUGCAGCCAAGUUCUCUUCGGUUUCCUCGCUCACCUUCUUUUUUGAUGAGAGCUUCAAUGGUGCUGAGACGAAGGUGCUGCGCAUCGAACUGUUCGGGGAAAACACAGGCAAGACAACGCAGCAACAGGUGGCAACGAAUAUUGUCUACGAGGGUCGUGGGAAUCCUGCCGAUCACCAGAGCAGCGAAGAAAAGAAGUUGCUUUUUGAGGUUAGAUGAGAGAGAAGGAGGGGUGGAGUUUUUGGUGGAUGCUUUCGCUGUUUGUAUCUUUGCUCUAUGAUGAUGAUAGAAUGGGCGGUUCACGAAAUCAGCGGAGGUAAAAAAAAAUGGAAGUCCAGUUUCUGGUGUUUUUUCGUGCUGGCGGCAGGAGGACCUGCUCGUGGUUAAUCGUUGUAUUGGCAGUCGCUUUCUACAGUCUAUUGCCCGUAAAGCAGUAUAUCUAUUAUGUGUGUGUGUGCGUCUCACAAGUGCUCCCUUCUCUUCUUGCUCUCAUGUUCUUGCUGCUUGUGAAACACGCAUAAG